RNAcentral lists this small RNA (594 nucleotides) under Arabidopsis thaliana (thale cress). Its description in RNAcentral is "putative long intergenic non-coding RNA". The record is from RNAcentral. Lineage: Eukaryota; Viridiplantae; Streptophyta; Magnoliopsida; Brassicales; Brassicaceae.
UUUUUUUUUAUAAAUAGAGAGGCAUCUCAUUAAGAGAGAUGGGACAAAUAAAAAAGAUGGGAGAAGAAACCCAAACUUCAAACAACUGCUCUAUUCAUCCAACUUGGGUUCAACUGCUCUUUUCUUUCAUCAUGUCGUUUGACUGCUUAUUUCGUCCAACUGACACUAAACUAUUACGCUCGUCUAUCUCGUUGAUUGACAGUUUAGUUCGUCCAACCUGGCAUCCAACUACUCUGUUCGUCCAUCUAGUUGCUUGAAUGCUCAGUUUGUCCAACUUGGCGUUCAAUUGCUUAGUCCAUCCAUCUCAUCGCAUGACUUUGUUUGACUGCUAGUUCGUCACUCAAACUGCGUAGCUCGUCGUCCAGAUUGACUAGCUCUUAGUUAUUGUAAUAUGAACUACGAAUUAUUUGUCCAUUUCUAUGAAUAUGUAGGCAGCCUUUUACAAUGCACAUCUAUAAACUAAAUAAACUAUGUGUUCGUCAUGAGAACUACUUAACUUCUGAACUUCACAGUUGUCAUGAAAUUUUUUUUCCUUGUAAACAAACUUACAAUAUUUUAUCAAAAUCUAUGCAUAAACAUUUUCGAUUCUUGUCG